UCCAACGUUAAUCGGGGCAGGGUGAGUCGACCCCUAAGGCGAGGCCGAAAGGCGUAGUCGAUGGGAAACAGGUUAAUAUUCCUGUACUUGGUGUUACUGCGAAGGGGGGGACGGAGAAGGCUAUGUCAGCCGGGCGACGGUCGUCCCGGUUUAAGCGUGUAGGCUGACUUUCCAGGCAAAUCCGGAAAGUUAAGGCUGAGGCGUGAUGACGAGGCACUACGGUGCUGAAGU
This 231-nucleotide ribosomal RNA is filed under the name Cronobacter sakazakii. Its description in RNAcentral is "partial 23S ribosomal RNA". It matches the Rfam family "Bacterial large subunit ribosomal RNA", at positions 1358 to 1591 of the family's 2925-position model. The record is from RNAcentral. Lineage: Bacteria; Pseudomonadati; Pseudomonadota; Gammaproteobacteria; Enterobacterales; Enterobacteriaceae.